This 448-nucleotide ribosomal RNA is filed under the name uncultured bacterium. RNAcentral's name for it is "partial 16S ribosomal RNA". It matches the Rfam family "Bacterial small subunit ribosomal RNA", at positions 330 to 794 of the family's 1533-position model. The record is from RNAcentral.
CCCAGACUCCUACGGGAGGCAGCAGUGGGGGAUAUUGCACAAUGGGGGGAACCCUGAUGCAGCGACGCCGCGUGGGUGAAGGAGCGUUUCGGCGCGUAAAGCCCUAUCGGCAGGGAAGAAGGAGGACGGUACCUGACUAAGAAGCCCCAGCUAACUACGUGCCAGCAGCCGCGGUAAUACGUAGGGGGCAAGCGUUAUCCGGAUUUACUGGGUGUAAAGGGGGCGCAGACGGCAGCGCAAGCCAGGAGUGAAAGCCCGGGGCCCAACCCCGGGACUGCUCUUGGAACUGCGCGGCUGGAGUGCAGGAGGGGCAGGCGGAAUUCCUGGUGUAGCGGUGAAAUGCGUAGAUAUCAGGAGGAACACCGGUGGCGAAGGCGGCCUGCUGGACUGCGACUGACGUUGAGGCCCGAAAGCGUGGGGAGCAAACAGGAUUAGAUACCCGGGUAGA